RNAcentral lists this ribosomal RNA (484 nucleotides) under uncultured bacterium. RNAcentral describes it as "partial 16S ribosomal RNA". It matches the Rfam family "Bacterial small subunit ribosomal RNA", at positions 29 to 507 of the family's 1533-position model. The record is from RNAcentral.
AUUGAACGCUGGCGGCAUGCUUUACACAUGCAAGUCGAACGGCAGCGCGGGCUUCGGCCUGGCGGCGAGUGGCGAACGGGUGAGUAAUACAUCGGAACGUGCCCAGUAGUGGGGGAUAGCUCGGCGAAAGCCGGAUUAAUACCGCAUACGACCUGAGGGUGAAAGCGGGGGAUCUUCGGACCUCGCGCUCUUUGAGCGGCCGAUGGCAGAUUAGCUAGUUGGUGGGGUAAAGGCCUACCAAGGCGACGAUCUGUAGCUGGUCUGAGAGGAGGACCAGCCACACUGGGACUGAGACACGGCCCAGACUCCUACGGGAGGCAGCAGUGGGGAAUUUUGGACAAUGGGCGAAAGCCUGAUCCAGCAAUGCCGCGUGUGUGAUGAAGGCCUUCGGGUUGUAAAGCACUUUUGGCGGGAACGAAAAGGACUGUGCCAAUACCACGGUUCGAUGACGGUACCCGCAGAAUAAGCACCGGCUAACUACGUG